UCCUCAGCAGGGCAGGGACGUGGUGCAGAUGGUUCCCCCCAGCCCACACAAAGCCACAAGGCCUGGGAUGGGCCUGACCAGCCAAGCUGUGUCAAGCCCUGCUGAGCUGUGUUGAGCCAUAGUAAGCUGUAGAGCCAGGCAGAACCAUGCCAAGCCAUGUUAAGCUGAGCCAAGCAGUGCUGAUCUGUGCCAAGCCAUGCCAAGCUGUGCUGGGCCAUGUCAAGCUGUGUUGAGCCAUGCCAUGCUUCAGCCAGCCAGAGCAAGCAGGGAGCUAUGAGGAGCACAAGUCAUGUCAUGCCAACUCCUGGUGCCACAGGACCUGUUCAAAGGCUUGAAUUGAGACAAGCAACUCCUGGAGUUUCCCUGAAGGAAGCAAGGGGGCACCCUGGAUGGCUCAGACAACAUCUCCCUCCACUUAUAUAUGAUAAAACCCACUGGAAUUGACAAAGUGAGCACAGAUGCAGCACACUUACAGCUGGAGCCAGCUCACAGCACAUCAAGUGAUACCAGUCACCCAAUAAAGGUGUCAAGAAGAGGGGGCACUGGUGUGUAUAUCACUUCAAAAGGCAGCGUCUUCAUUUGCUUGUUACCUUCAAGGGCCUCUGCAGGAAGCAGUGGCUGAGCCAGAACCCAAAGAGCUCUUCCAGCCAAAGGUAUGACCAGAGCACAAGAGGCAUCAGGGAAGGCAGCACCAGCUAAAGCCUUUGCCAAGAGACAGCACUAACCACAGACACUGCUUUAUUUAUUGUUUAAUAUACAAAACCCCAGCAUUCAGCCUUGCAGCUUCAUGUCAGCCCUUCAGAGCCAAGCUCAGGCCCCCUCCCACCCUCUAAGAGGUCCCUCCAUGCCCCAGUUCACACACACAGGCACCAGCUUAACAAAGCUCUUUGGAAAUAAACCAAGAACAGAUCUUU
This is a long non-coding RNA of Melopsittacus undulatus (budgerigar), 914 nucleotides long. RefSeq lists it as uncharacterized. Lineage: Eukaryota; Metazoa; Chordata; Aves; Psittaciformes; Psittaculidae. The record is from RefSeq and is a predicted model, not a curated record. The transcript is spliced from 2 exons.